This is a long non-coding RNA of Aplysia californica (California sea hare), 749 nucleotides long. RefSeq lists it as uncharacterized. Lineage: Eukaryota; Metazoa; Mollusca; Gastropoda; Aplysiida; Aplysiidae. The record is from RefSeq and is a predicted model, not a curated record. The transcript has 4 exons.
UGCUGUUGUGGUGUUGCUGGUGCGUGCUGGUCAUCUGGUCAACGCACUCGGCUGUCCUGACCUCACACCUGUUGAAGACACAAGUGGAUUUGAAAAGGCUGUUGAAGUGAGAGUGAUUGGGAGGGAGACGGCGUGUGAAUGUGUUUGUGACCUCAGACGAUGUUUCCGCCUACGCGUGACCGUGACCUGCUGAAGGUCAGGCCCCUUCUCCCUCGUUGACCACGUGUGGGACGAUUGAAGAUGUGCCUGCCCCACGAGGAAUAACUGCAGACAUUUCAGGACUGAUCAGACCAACAGAACAAUGCUGAUAAUACAAGUUACAACUGCAGAGACAGAAGAACCGGCUCCGGAUGUGGGACGCGCUAAAUGUAGGCCAGCGUGCCGUGUAUGACGCACACGUGUGAUGUGUGUGUGUAGGUGCCACACCAAGAUAAAGCUUACGCCUUUGCGUGCCUGUUUCUCGUCUGUACUAUGCUACCUCACAAGCGAACAUCUGGAACAUCGCUGUGAACAGCAGACGCAAGACGACACCUCAUCCCUCCAACCUCCAUCAAGUUCAAAAGUUCCAGCAAGAAGUCUGCACCACCUCCCCAUACAGUGUCAGGACGGAAGAGAAAAGUUUCAUCGGACGCUCGCGGAUGUGGGGAAAGUAAGCUGGGAGAUAGCUCCGAGGUGUAUGGAAAAAGUAUUGGUUUCAGUUGUUGAGGUGUUUUUUUUCUAUUGUGCCGUUUUGAUUGUUUAGGAGGCAG